UCAAGGUGCACUGCAACUCCACAGGUGAGAGCUGGAUCCACAUCCCACCAUCACUCCUGUGCUGAACAAAACAACUUCUGAGUGUUAUUUUGUGACGAGUGUUUAUUGCCUGUGAGACCCUCAGAACAGGGUGCUGCCAGGAAGAGCUCUACAACAAAGCUGUGGAACAGCUCUAAGCAGGGUUUUCUUCUGUUCAUCACUUUGGUACCCAAUCCAUACCAAGCAUUGAUUUUUCCAAACACCAAGAAGAGUUAGAGCAGCAAUUGAUGUAUUUUACAUGCAGAAGCCAAUGCAAGUUAAAGGCCACGCUUUCCAAACAAGACAUUUAAUUUCACUCUCAUUACACAGGUAGUCACCCCUAACGAGGAAUGAAAGAGAGCAUAAAGGCAGCACACAAACUGAGAACAGAUGACAACUACCUUUUGUGCUCACACGUACUCACAGGAGAAAUAUCCCUGGCUGCCAGCCACAAGAAGACAAGUAUUACUCCCAGGAGCUGUAAUGCCUCGAAGGUGGGUUUUGAAGUUCAACUUCUGAAAUUUGGAAGGAUUUGCUACUUGUUUUGGGAAUGUUGCAACAUUGGUUUGGCCAAAGCAUGACCUUGACUUUACUGAUUAUUGGGAAUACAAGGAAAAUGAAGCUAAAAAUGUUGAAAGCAAAUUUUAAAAGUGAUUCUCAGAAAAAACAGAAGAGAGAAAUAACACGGAGAAGUCAUUCCUUAGGAGGAUAACAGAGAUGACUCAG
RNAcentral lists this long non-coding RNA (744 nucleotides) under Lepidothrix coronata (blue-crowned manakin). RNAcentral describes it as "lncRNA (ENSLCOG00000014799.1)". Lineage: Eukaryota; Metazoa; Chordata; Aves; Passeriformes; Pipridae. The record is from RNAcentral.